Molecule: transfer RNA, 77 nt
Filed under: Thermostaphylospora chromogena
Lineage: Bacteria; Bacillati; Actinomycetota; Actinomycetes; Streptosporangiales; Thermomonosporaceae
Description: tRNA_Met_CAT
Rfam family: tRNA
About the family: Transfer RNA (tRNA) molecules are approximately 80 nucleotides in length.
Source: RNAcentral
GGGGCGGUAGCUCAGCCGGUCAGAGCAGCGGACUCAUAAUCCGUAGGUCGCGGGUUCAAGUCCCGCCCGCCCUACCA